CCUACGGGAGGCAGCAGUGAGGAAUAUUGGUCAAUGGACGCAAGUCUGAACCAGCCAAGUAGCGUGCAGGAUGACGGCCCUCCGGGUUGUAAACUGCUUUUGCCGGGGAGCAACGGGCGUCACGUGUGGCGCCACUGAGAGUACCCGGAGAAAAAGCAUCGGCUAACUCCGUGCCAGCAGCCGCGGUAAUACGGAGGAUGCGAGCGUUAUCCGGAUUUAUUGGGUUUAAAGGGUGCGUAGGCGGAUCGUUAAGUCAGUGGUCAAAUUGAGGGGCUCAACCCCUUCCCGCCAUUGAAACUGGCGUUCUUGAGUGGAAGAGAAGUAUGCGGAAGGCGUGGUGUAGCGGUGAAAUGCAUAGAUAUCACGCAGAACCCCGAUUGCGAAGGCAGCAUGCCGGCUUCCGACUGACGCUGAAGCACGAAAGCGUGGGGAUCGAACAGGAUUAGAUACCCCUGUAGUC
RNAcentral lists this ribosomal RNA (460 nucleotides) under uncultured bacterium. RNAcentral describes it as "partial 16S ribosomal RNA". It matches the Rfam family "Bacterial small subunit ribosomal RNA", at positions 338 to 795 of the family's 1533-position model. The record is from RNAcentral.